Long non-coding RNA from Sinocyclocheilus rhinocerous, 720 nucleotides. RefSeq lists it as uncharacterized. NCBI's taxonomy places the organism in Eukaryota, Metazoa, Chordata, Actinopteri, Cypriniformes, Cyprinidae. The record is from RefSeq and is a predicted model, not a curated record. The transcript is spliced from 4 exons.
UUUUCAUCUGAGUUAUUUAAAUAUAUUUUAAUGUGAAUAUUUGUUUAACAUCAUGUGUUUAUAAUCUCUAGAUACUUUUGAGAAUCUGGAUUUAGACGAAAGUUUGGAACAGAUCCUUGAAGAGCUAUUUGACGAGGCGCAACUAAAUGCCUGUGAUGAUGACUGAGAAGUUAAUAACGGUGAGCACGAUGCUUCUGACAGCCACGUGGUAAUAUUACCUACAGAGGAGGCGUUGCAAGAGGUUGUAGUUAAGACGGAAUCACGUCACGAGCUAAACAACGUCACACAACCCACCCCCGACCACGUUACGUCUUCAGAGGAUGGGUCUCACACGCUCACCGCCUGCGCGAGUGUACACACCCCAGGUACAUCCAGUCCCCCAACGCAACGAUUGAGACCCCCGCAUCCAGGCGGUCAGGGUAUAAAACGGUUGAGGUUACCGGAGCAGGAUGCGGAUGACUCGCCGACCACCACACGUUUAAGGACUUCAGACAAUAAUGAACAAGGCUACGGUGAGGGUGAUCUAACAGCGUGGUCUGAUUCGAUGAUCCACGCGUGGGAUCAGAUAUCCUUCACCGAUUCGGAGAGUGAGGAAGAGGCUGAAUUACCUCAUGAAAUUCCUCAGGAACUGUUCCGUGAUUGCGAUUUAAAUAGAAGGCUUGAUUAUGAUAUGCUGAGCCGUGUUAAUCGGUACUUUGAGAGACUUUUCGACUUGGCCGG